RNAcentral lists this ribosomal RNA (421 nucleotides) under uncultured bacterium. RNAcentral describes it as "bacterial SSU rRNA". It matches the Rfam family "Bacterial small subunit ribosomal RNA", at positions 29 to 440 of the family's 1533-position model. The record is from RNAcentral.
AAUGAACGCUGGCGGCGCGCCUAAUACAUGCAAGUCGAGCGAGAAGACGUAGCAAUACGUUUGUAAAGCGGCGAACGGGUGAGGAAUACAUGGGUAACCUACCCUCGAGUGGGGAAUAACUAGCCGAAAGGUUAGCUAAUACCGCGUACGCUUCUUGGACUUCGGUUCAGGGAGGAAAGCGAUGCCGAGGGUAUCGCGCUCUUGGAUGGGCUCAUGUCCUAUCAGCUUGUUGGUGAGGUAACGGCUCACCAAGGCUUCGACGGGUAGCUGGUCUGAGAGGACGAUCAGCCACACUGGCACUGCGACACGGGCCAGACUCCUACGGGAGGCAGCAGUAAGGAAUAUUGCGCAAUGGGCGAAAGCCUGACGCAGCGACGCCGCGUGGGGGAUGAAGGUCUUCGGAUUGUAAACCCCUUUCGGG